UUAUAUGCUAAUAAGAGCGAACAGAUGCACAAGGCUGAUAGAAAGGAGCCCAGCUCACGUAACCAAAAAAUUAUGAUUAAAUAAGGAAAGCAAAUAUAACCAGAACCGAAAAAUACUUCUCCCAAGGAAAGGGUAUCCACACUAAAAAAGAAACCCAUAAAAAAAAUAGAAUUUUCACACCAAAAGUUACUUUCCAUUUCUGUGAACAAAUUAAUACAUCAUACCGAAUUUCAAAUUGAUCGAGCUAAUCAAACAAAAAGAAAAUCGGAAGCAAACCAAGAACAGAGAUGAGAGAUAUUUGAUAAAUUCUCAUACAAAAAUUGACCAUAAAAAUAUAUCACCAAACUCCAAUCACCGUCAAAUUAUCACGCAAACAAAAGAGAAUGAAAACUUUCAAUAACACAACAUAACAACAUAUGGGUAACUGUAGAAUAUGUACACACAAAAUAGAUCUUGAACUGAUUUGUGAAGAACAAAAUCAGAUUCGAGUGGAUCAACUUCCAAAACCCCACCCCUACAAAUCUGAAAUCCCUUAAGCCAAUCCCAUACACCCCGGCCCCACUUCAAAUUAUAGCAGCUCCGAACUUUGCAAACAUAAAUCGGUAGUUAGAUUUUUGAGAGGUCGCCGGAAAAGCACAAAUAGAUUCAAGUAAUAAAGUGAAAGAAAUGAAAAUGAGUGAUGGUUUAAUUUGUUUAACUAUUUA
Molecule: long non-coding RNA, 704 nt
Filed under: Panax ginseng (ginseng)
Lineage: Eukaryota; Viridiplantae; Streptophyta; Magnoliopsida; Apiales; Araliaceae
Description: long non-coding RNA (PGIN_LNC006447)
Source: RNAcentral